GCCUGGGUGGCUCAGUUGGUUGAGCGUCCGACUUCAGCUCAGAUCAUGAUCUCAUGGCUUGUGGGUUCAAACCUCGUGUCAGGCU
This 85-nucleotide transfer RNA is filed under the name Felis catus (domestic cat). It matches the Rfam family "tRNA". Rfam says of the family: Transfer RNA (tRNA) molecules are approximately 80 nucleotides in length. Their secondary structure includes four short double-helical elements and three loops (D, anti-codon, and T loops). The record is from Rfam by way of RNAcentral. Lineage: Eukaryota; Metazoa; Chordata; Mammalia; Carnivora; Felidae.